This 237-nucleotide long non-coding RNA is filed under the name Lathyrus oleraceus (garden pea). RNAcentral's name for it is "Pisum sativum (pea) long non-coding RNA (PSAT_LNC005714)". The record is from RNAcentral. Lineage: Eukaryota; Viridiplantae; Streptophyta; Magnoliopsida; Fabales; Fabaceae.
GAUUACUUCAUUCCAUUUCCAUUAAUGCACUUUAUUCAUCAUCUUCUUCUUCUUCUUCUUCUUUUUCUUUUUUGAUCAAUGAGUUAAAGAUUGGUGGUUAGCCUUGAUGUAUAGGAGGUUUAGCCUUCCUUGAUUCAAAUGUAAUUCAUCUUGAUCAUGGAUCAAGUGAAUGGCUUUGCAUUAAGGAUAGGUUGCUUCCUAAUCAAGCAAAAAACCUAAAUCAAUACAAGAUCAUUU